Camellia sinensis is the source of this 857-nucleotide non-coding RNA. The record is from RefSeq and is a predicted model, not a curated record. Lineage: Eukaryota; Viridiplantae; Streptophyta; Magnoliopsida; Ericales; Theaceae.
UUGGCUGGAUUUAGAGACACUUCGCUACUGAAAUUGUUUUCUGGAGAGUGUAAUCUGUUUGAGAUUGGUUAAAUCUCCCAACCCAUCUGGGAUUUCACCAAAGACGAGUGACUCUGCUUCGGCUAUAUUGCAGCAGCAAGGAGUGAACAACGAUUAGGGUUUCAGGCGAUCCUCCAUCGUUGGAGCUAUGAAUCCAUUGACGCUAGUGAAACGAAUUCAGAAUAUCAAUUCGAAAGAAGCUGCGUUAGGUAUUUCUGAACAAGCUUCCUGGCACGCCAAGUACAAAGAUUCUGCUUAUGUCUUUGUCGGAGGCAUUCCCUUUGAUCUCACUGAAGGCGAUCUUCUUGCUGUUUUUGCACAGAUGUAAUUAAAGUUUCUUUGGAGAGUUCUAUAAUACCAAGAGUCCAAUUGGCAGAGGGACUUCUUAUUAGUGUUGAUCCAUUGUGCGAAAUUGAUGGAGUUCCAAUUGGCCCUGGAUUUUGCAAAGUUUUUGUUUUAAAAGCGAACAAGCCGAACGCUGUUUUGGAAACAACAUCCCAAUGUCUUAGAACAGUUGGAGAAGCUAUGGGAAGAUACAUUGUGUGGCGCUCGAUUCAUGUGCAACCUUUUGAAUUCAAACCUUUUGAGUACGUGAUAUCUUCACAUAUCGAUAUGGGAGCUUACUAUUGAUAUCAAAACAAGCUACAUUAUAUCUGUUUUUAUUUUUUUAUUUCUAUUGUCGAUACUAAAAAUUUGAGUUCUUCAAUUUCAAAAAUUAUUAGUAUUGUUAGAGGUUAAUUUAUAUAUUUUUGUAAAUAAUAUUUGAUUGACAAUUGUUACAAGGUACAUAUAUUAUUCUUGGUAUAUGAUUUUUUGAA